Molecule: unclassified non-coding RNA, 228 nt
Filed under: Basidiomycota sp.
Lineage: Eukaryota; Fungi; Basidiomycota
Description: partial contains small subunit ribosomal RNA, internal transcribed spacer 1, and 5.8S ribosomal RNA
Rfam family: Eukaryotic small subunit ribosomal RNA (bases 1-46)
Source: RNAcentral
AAGUCGUAACAAGGUUUCCGUAGGUGAACCUGCGGAAGGAUCAUUAGUGAAUUAUAGGGCGUCUACUUGUAGAGCCUGACCUCCACUUCUAACACUGUGCACUUGAUGGCUUGGUAAUGGAUCUCUAACGAGUGAAACUACCUUGCGGCUUCAUUUUAAACAUUAGUCAAAGUAUGUAAUGAAAUAAAAAACAAAAAAAAACUUUCAACAACGGAUCUCUUGGUUCUG